RNAcentral lists this ribosomal RNA (468 nucleotides) under uncultured bacterium. Its description in RNAcentral is "partial 16S ribosomal RNA". It matches the Rfam family "Bacterial small subunit ribosomal RNA", at positions 28 to 507 of the family's 1533-position model. The record is from RNAcentral.
GACGAACGCUGGCGGCGUGCUUAACACAUGCAAGUCGAACGGAAAGGCCCUGCUUUUGUGGGGUGCUCGAGUGGCGAACGGGUGAGUAACACGUGAGUAACCUGCCCUUUACUUUGGGAUAACUUCAGGAAACUGGGGCUAAUACCGGAUAGGAGCUCCUGCUGCAUGGUGGGGGUUGGAAAGUUUCGGCGGUUGGGGAUGGACUCGCGGCUUAUCAGCUUGUUGGUGGGGUAGUGGCUUACCAAGGCUUUGACGGGUAGCCGGCCUGAGAGGGUUACCGGCCACAUUGGGACUGAGAUACGGACCAGACUCCAACGGGAGGCAGCAGUGGGGAAUAUUGCACAAUGGGCGGAAGCCUGAUGAAGCAACGCCGCGUGCGGGAUGACGGCCUUCGGGUUGUAAACCGCUUUCGCCUGUGACGAAGCGUGAGUGACGGUAAUGGGUAAAGAAGCACCGGCUAACUACGUG